UUAGACACCUUAUUUAUAUAGGUUAGUUAUUUUAGUUAUUUAGCGACGCACCAUAGUAGACGCAUAUUGAACGGGACUAGUGACGUUUGGGAUAUGUUGGGUUAGAGACCGGAAAAUCAGUUAGCGUUAGAACAUUCCAGGGUAACGACGUGUUUAGUGACAGAGACUUCUACUGUGGCCUUUUAUCAUAAUAAAUAUAUAUUAACUUGUUCAUCAUCGUUGACUACAUCUCUUCACCUGUUACAAUCGAUGUGCCAGUUCUUGUUUGUGUUGUUGGUCAACUACACGUAAUACACCCGAACAAUUACACCCAAACGAUUGCAGAGUAAUUGGUUGACUUCAAGACAGCCUGAACUAGCAACAUCACAGUGGCGACCCCGAACCUCGAAGCCCGACGAACAUCGAACCGGACCUCGAAGCAGAACGUUUACUCAGGUGAGGGUCGUGCACUCGAAGAUAUAAGAUUUCAUCGGAGUACGGCUGAACACAGCAGUAUCGCAGAGUGACUUUGUUCUGGAUCUACAAGCAGUCGUCGCCUGUUUGAUCGCACGUUCAACGAGCCGUUAACUCAGGGUGACCUUCGUCAGGACCGUAAUCAUCGCAACGCCUGAUCUUCAUAUGCUGAAUCGACCUACAACCAGAGAAACCGUUCAUUCAUAACGGGUGAGAGAUCGUUAGUGAACCUGUUGGACAUAUUUUUUCUUCGUCGUAGGAGCCACGUCGAGUAUCAAGUUUUACCUCGUCAGUUUCGAGAAGGACAGUUUGCCCGCUGUCAGAAGUAUUGUGAGUACUACAAGUUUGGUAGCUAACUAAAUCGAAAUCGCUCUGUCGUCUUACCCUUGGAGAGAUUCUUGUGGAGCAGUUUGCUCAUUGAACCGGUUGCUUGCCACGUUUAUAACGGUCACUGUGUUUAACCUUUGGAAGGUUAGUAAAGUUGUAUGUAUCAUUACUGAACAUUGAUAUAUUUAGUAUUCGUCGGUCUAGACGUUAUCUAGACGUGCUGAUAGUGAAGUUGUGGAAAUAGCUACAUCCACUUAAUUUCGUUGAAAACCGUUAAUCGUCUAACGGAACGUCGUCGGAGGUGACCUUGGUCUCACCUAGUCUACAUUGGACAGUUUGGUCUAGUGAAGCAACGUACAACAGCAAACUUCGUCGUACUACCAGAGUAGCAGCAGAGGCAGUGAACUAUUUUAGAGAACCGUUAUUCGUCAGCCCAGAUCAAGUCAUCGUCAAGAAAGUCGUUAUUCGUCAGCCCAGAUCAAGUCAUCGUCAAGAAAUUCGUUAUUCGUCAGUCGUCCAGAUCAAGUUGCCGUCAAGAGACUGUUAUUUGUCAGUAGUCGUCUACACAAGUCAAGUCAUCGCCAGAAGAACCGUUAACCUAUUCGUCAGUAACUGUGUACACAAAGUCGUCGGAACUACACAUACGGUCAUCAACAGUCGUCGAAGGAACUGGAACAUUUUGCUGUGGCAUAUCAGGACAUCUGUGGCAUUACGUGGGAUACUGGUAGCACCGGAGAACAGAGUCAGAACUGGAAGAGAGGCAGUGGAAUUUGUUGUGAUCUAGCAUAUUCGGGAGUCCGAACAAAGGGAUCUUUCUUAUCAAAAGCUAAGUGCCAUUUUUCUUAUUAGUAUAUGUUUAGAUUGCCCUUAGAAAUAGAUUUUGUCUAAAUUUGGUACGUUAGCCUGAGUAAAAUCAGGUGGUGCGCCUUAAAACCCGUCGGGGUAGAAGACGUAAUUUAGAUGAAAAGCUAUAUUAUACAUUUAGGGUUGUAAUUUGUUUUGUUUGUGUAAACGUCAUAUCCGUUGUUGCCUGGUUACUUCGUGACGUUAUCAUUGUGUGCCAUAUUGUCACAUCCCAACCCAUAGUGAUAGUCUCAUUUAAUUAUUUCAUUUGUUUAUAUUAUUUUAAAUUAUUUAUUUUUAUUAAUUUAAUUAGAUCUGUAUUUUUUUUUCACUUAAUGAUAGAAAGUGCGGGUAGGAUUCUUUUACUGUGAAUCAGACUAAAAUAAUUUUAGUUUGAGCGGUUAAAAUCAAAUAUGAUUUUGCCAUGAGAAUAAUGCCGAAACUGGCUAUGUAGUCAAACACUAUCGUCUGGCUAAAUUUAGAUCUGCAAAUUGUUGUACAUCUCUUUGGUACAAUUUAAUUAUCUAGACUCUAAUUUGAAAUAUUAUUAAGUUGAAGAUGAAUGAAGAUUACUGCCAGUGAAGAACAUUUGAGAUGUGUAGGACAUGCCCAUAAGAUGCCACAUUUUCCUCUAUGAUGAACUGUGUACUAAGGAGGAUGAUUUUGGAAUGUUAUGAACUGUUAUGAACAUUGACAUGAAUAUGAGGAACUGUCAAGAUGAAGAUGUCAAGAUGAAGAUGUCAAGAUUUUAUGUUUGUGGUCUUCCCCUUAGAUUGAAAAUGCCCUUGUAAGACUUGACAGUAGUGGAAAAAUAUUGACAUAUUUUUUUUCAAGGGGGGGAGGAAUCUGUUAGACACCUUAUUUAUAUAGGUUAGUUAUUUUAGUUAUUUAGCGACGCACCAUAGUAGACGCAUAUUGAACGGGACUAGUGACGUUUGGGAUAUGUUGGGUUAGAGACCGGAAAAUCAGUUAGCGUUAGAACAUUCCAGGGUAACGACGUGUUUAGUGACAGAGACUUCUACUGUGGCCUUUUAUCAUAAUAAAUAUAUAUUAACUUGUU
Molecule: long non-coding RNA, 2683 nt
Organism: Biomphalaria glabrata
Lineage: Eukaryota; Metazoa; Mollusca; Gastropoda; Planorbidae
Exons: 2
Source: RefSeq, a predicted model, not a curated record